GACACAAAAAGAGGCAAGGGAAGAAAAUGGCAGUUCCAUAGAAGUUCCAUGAAGAAAGAACUCAGGAGGAUGGGGCUUCCCUGGUCUACCGAAUUUAGGAAUGACCAUCUGACUAAUUUGUCCAAUCAAAUGUGGGCAGAAGCAGUGCAUGCUGUGUUCAAGCAGAAGUCUAAGAGCUAUCACAUGAUUUUCCACGUUUCUUUCUCCACUGCAACCUUCCAAUGAGAAGGUGCUCUUUCAGUCUAGAUUCCAGAACAAACCAAACGCGGAGCAGAGACCACAGCAGAUCUACAUUACAUCUGCAGCAUGAAUGAAAAAUAAACCUUUGUUGUUGUAUGUCA
Molecule: long non-coding RNA, 341 nt
Organism: Neogale vison (American mink)
Lineage: Eukaryota; Metazoa; Chordata; Mammalia; Carnivora; Mustelidae
Exons: 2
Source: RefSeq, a predicted model, not a curated record